GGGAGGCAGCAGUGGGGAAUUUUGGACAAUGGACGCAAGCCUGAUCCAGCCAUUCCGCGUGCAGGAUGAAGGCCUUCGGGUUGUAAACUGCUUUUGUACGGAACGAAAAGGUUUGUCUUAAUACCAUGAGCUCAUGACGGUACCGGAAGAAUAAGCACCGGCUAACUACGUGCCAGCAGCCG
RNAcentral lists this ribosomal RNA (182 nucleotides) under uncultured Limnohabitans sp. RNAcentral's name for it is "partial 16S ribosomal RNA". It matches the Rfam family "Bacterial small subunit ribosomal RNA", at positions 343 to 517 of the family's 1533-position model. The record is from RNAcentral. Lineage: Bacteria; Pseudomonadati; Pseudomonadota; Betaproteobacteria; Burkholderiales; Comamonadaceae.